AUUGAACGCUGGCGGCAGGCCUAACACAUGCAAGUCGAGCGGAUGAAGGGAGCUUGCUCCUGGAUUCAGCGGCGGACGGGUGAGUAAUGCCUAGGAAUCUGCCUGGUAGUGGGGGAUAACGUCCGGAAACGGGCGCUAAUACCGCAUACGUCCUGAGGGAGAAAGUGGGGGAUCUUCGGACCUCACGCUAUCAGAUGAGCCUAGGUCGGAUUAGCUAGUUGGUGGGGUAAAGGCCUACCAAGGCGACGAUCCGUAACUGGUCUGAGAGGAUGAUCAGUCACACUGGAACUGAGACACGGUCCAGACUCCUACGGGAGGCAGCAGUGGGGAAUAUUGGACAAUGGGCGAAAGCCUGAUCCAGCCAUGCCGCGUGUGUGAAGAAGGUCUUCGGAUUGUAAAGCACUUUAAGUUGGGAGGAAGAGCAGUAAGUUAAUACCUUGCUGUUUUGACGUUACCCACAGAAUAAGCACCGGCUAACUUCGUG
RNAcentral lists this ribosomal RNA (484 nucleotides) under uncultured bacterium. Its description in RNAcentral is "partial 16S ribosomal RNA". It matches the Rfam family "Bacterial small subunit ribosomal RNA", at positions 30 to 507 of the family's 1533-position model. The record is from RNAcentral.